UACGUAGGGUGCAAGCGUUAAUCGGAAUUACUGGGCGUAAAGCGUGCGCAGGCGGUUAUGCAAGACAGGUGUGAAAUCCCCGGGCUCAACCUGGGAACUGCAUUUGUGACUGUAUAGCUGGAGUACGGUAGAGGGGGAUGGAAUUCCGCGUGUAGCAGUGAAAUGCGUAGAGAUGUGGAGGAACACCGAUGGCGAAGGCAGCCCCCUGGGCUAACACUGACGCUCAGGCACGAAAGCGUGGGGAGCAAACAGG
This 253-nucleotide ribosomal RNA is filed under the name uncultured bacterium. RNAcentral describes it as "partial 16S ribosomal RNA". It matches the Rfam family "Bacterial small subunit ribosomal RNA", at positions 524 to 776 of the family's 1533-position model. The record is from RNAcentral.